This 1252-nucleotide ribosomal RNA is filed under the name metagenome. RNAcentral's name for it is "bacterial SSU rRNA". It matches the Rfam family "Bacterial small subunit ribosomal RNA", at positions 243 to 1520 of the family's 1533-position model. The record is from RNAcentral.
AGCUAGUUGGUGAGGUAAUGGCCCACCAAGGCGACGAUCGGUAGCCGGACUGAGAGGUUGAACGGCCACAUUGGGACUGAGACACGGCCCAGACUCCUACGGGAGGCAGCAGUGGGGAAUAUUGCACAAUGGGGGAAACCCUGAUGCAGCGACGCCGCGUGGAGGAAGAAGGUCUUCGGAUUGUAAACUCCUGUUGUUGAGGAAGAUAAUGACGGUACUCAACAAGGAAGUGACGGCUAACUACGUGCCAGCAGCCGCGGUAAAACGUAGGUCACAAGCGUUGUCCGGAAUUACUGGGUGUAAAGGGAGCGCAGGCGGGCGAUCAAGUUGGAAGUGAAAUCCAUGGGCUCAACCCAUGAACUGCUUUCAAAACUGAUUGUCUUGAGUAGUGCAGAGGUAGGCGGAAUUCCCGGUGUAGCGGUGGAAUGCGUAGAUAUCGGGAGGAACACCAGUGGCGAAGGCGGCCUACUGGGCACCAACUGACGCUGAGGCCCGAAAGUGUGGGUAGCAAACAGGAUUAGAUACCCUGGUAGUCCACACCGUAAACGAUGAUUACUAGGUGUUGGAGGAUUGACCCCUUCAGUGCCGCAGUUAACACAAUAAGUAAUCCACCUGGGGAGUACGACCGCAAGGUUAAAACUCAAAGGAAUUGACGGGGGCCCGCACAAGCAGUGGAGUAUGUGGUUUAAUUCGACGCAACGCGAAGAACCUUACCAAGUCUUGACAUCCUGCGACGAUGCUAGAAAUAGUAUUUUCCUUCGGGACGCAGAGACAGGUGGUGCAUGGUUGUCGUCAGCUCGUGUCGUGAGAUGUUGGGUUAAGUCCCGCAACGAGCGCAACCCUUAUGGUCAGUUACUACGCAAGAGGACUCUGGCCAGACUGCCGUUGACAAAACGGAGGAAGGUGGGGGUGACGUCAAAUCAUCAUGCCCUUUAUGACUUGGGCUACACACGUACUACAAUGGCGUUAAACAAAGAGAAGCAAGACCGCGAGGUGGAGCAAAACUCAGAAACAACGUCCCAGUUCGGACUGCAGGCUGCAACUCGCCUGCACGAAGUUGGAAUUGCUAGUAAUCGUGGAUCAGCAUGCCACGGUGAAUACGUUCCCGGGCCUUGUACACACCGCCCGUCACACCAUGAGAGCCGGGGGGACCCGAAGUCGGUAGUCUAACCGCAAGGAGGACGCCGCCGAAGGUAAAACUGGUGAUUGGGGUGAAGUCGUAACAAGGUAGCCGUAGGAGAACCUGCGGCUG